This 468-nucleotide ribosomal RNA is filed under the name uncultured bacterium. RNAcentral's name for it is "partial 16S ribosomal RNA". It matches the Rfam family "Bacterial small subunit ribosomal RNA", at positions 28 to 507 of the family's 1533-position model. The record is from RNAcentral.
GACGAACGCUGGCGGCGUGCUUAACACAUGCAAGUCGAACGGAAAGGCCCUGCUUUUGUGGGGUGCUCGAGUGGCGAACGGGUGAGUAACACGUGAGUAACCUGCCCUUGACUUUGGGAUAACUUCAGGAAACUGGGGCUAAUACCGGAUAGGAGCUCCUGCUGCAUGGUGGGGGUUGGAAAGUUUCGGCGGUUGGGGAUGGACUCGCGGCUUAUCAGCUUGUUGGUGGGGUAGUGGCUUACCAAGGCUUUGACGGGUAGCCGGCCUGAGAGGGUGACCGGCCACAUUGGGACUGAGAUACAGCCCAGACUCCUACGGGAGGCAGCAGUGGGGGAUAUUGCACAAUGGGCGGAAGCCUGAUGCAGCAACGCCGCGUGCGGGAUGACGGCCUUCGGGUUGUAAACCGCUUUCGCCUGUGACGAAGCGUGAGUGACGGUAAUGGGUAAAGAAGCACCGGCUAACUACGUG